RNAcentral lists this ribosomal RNA (253 nucleotides) under uncultured bacterium. Its description in RNAcentral is "partial 16S ribosomal RNA". It matches the Rfam family "Bacterial small subunit ribosomal RNA", at positions 524 to 776 of the family's 1533-position model. The record is from RNAcentral.
UACGUAGGGGGCGAGCGUUGUCCGGAAUUAUUGGGCGUAAAGCGCGCGCAGGCGGCCCUUUAAGUCUGAUGUGAAAGCCCGCGGCUCAACCGCGGAUGGGCAUUGGAAACUGGAGGGCUUGAGUGCAGGAGAGGAGAGUGGAAUUCCACGUGUAGCGGUGAAAUGCGUAGAGAUGUGGAGGAACACCAGUGGCGAAAGCGGCUCUCUGGCCUGCAACUGACGCUGAGGCGCGAAAGCGUGGGGAGCAAACAGG